Molecule: ribosomal RNA, 504 nt
Filed under: uncultured bacterium
Lineage: Bacteria
Description: partial 16S ribosomal RNA
Rfam family: Bacterial small subunit ribosomal RNA
Source: RNAcentral
AACGAACGCUGGCGGCGUGUCUUAAGCAUGCAAGUCGUGCGGCAAGGCGGGGCAACCUGCCCUAGAGCGGCGGACUGGUGAGUAACGCGUGGGUGAUCUGCCCUUGGGAUGGGGAUAGCCUCUAGAAAUAGAGGGUAAUACCGAAUACGUUCGGCGGGGGAAGCCCGUCGCGGAAAAGCGCUUCGGCGCUGCCCGAGGAGGAGCCCGCGUCCCAUUAGCUAGUUGGUGAGGUAACGGCCCACCAAGGCUAUGAUGGGUAGCCGGCCUGAGAGGGUGUACGGCCACACUGGGACUGAGAUACGGCCCAGACUCCUACGGGAGGCAGCAGCUAAGAAUAUUCCGCAAUGGACGAAAGUCUGACGGAGCGACGCCGCGUGGAUGACGAAGGCCGAAAGGUUGUAAAGUCCUUUUGUUGGGGAAGAAUAACCAUGGGAGGGAAUGCCCGUGGGAUGACAUGAACCGACGAAUAAGCCCCGGCUAACUACGUGCCAGCCGCCGCGGUAA